AACGCUAGCUACAGGCUUAACACAUGCAAGUCGAGGGGCAUCACAGAGUGGCAACACUUGGGUGGCGACCGGCGCACGGGUGAGUAACACGUAUCCAACCUGUCCCAUACUCGGGGAUAGCCUUUCGAAAGAAAGAUUAAUACCCGAUGGUAUCUAUCUUCGGCAUCGAAGACAGAUUAAAGAAAUUCGGUAUGGGGUGGGGAUGCGUUCCAUUAGAUCGUUGGUAGGGUAACGGCCUACCAAGUCAACGAUGGAUAGGGGUUCUGAGAGGAAGAUCCCCCACAUUGGAACUGAGACACGGUCCAAACUCCUACGGGAGGCAGCAGUGAGGAAUCUUGGUCAAUGGGCGCAAGGCCUGAACCAGCCACGUAGCGUGAAGGAAGACUGCCCUUAGGGUUGUAAACUUCUUUUAUAAGGAAAUAACGUCAGUAACGAGUUACUGAUUGCAUGUACCUUAUGAAUAAGGAUCGGCUAACUCCGUGCCAGCAGCCGCGGUAAUACGGAGGAUCCGAGCGUUAUCCGGAUUUAUUGGGUUUAAAGGGAGCGUAGGCCGGAGAUUAAGCGUGUUGUGAAAUGUAGGCGCUCAACGUCUGCACUGCAGCGCGAACUGGUUUCCUUGAGUACGCACAAAGUGGGCGGAAUUCGUGGUGUAGCGGUGAAAUGCUUAGAUAUCACGAAGAACUCCGAUUG
Molecule: ribosomal RNA, 690 nt
Filed under: uncultured bacterium
Lineage: Bacteria
Description: bacterial SSU rRNA
Rfam family: Bacterial small subunit ribosomal RNA
Source: RNAcentral